Cavia porcellus (domestic guinea pig) is the source of this 413-nucleotide long non-coding RNA. RefSeq lists it as uncharacterized. NCBI's taxonomy places the organism in Eukaryota, Metazoa, Chordata, Mammalia, Rodentia, Caviidae. The transcript is spliced from 3 exons. The record is from RefSeq and is a predicted model, not a curated record.
UGUUACCACCUGAAGCGUCUCCUGUUUCAUUGGGGCUGCGCUGGUCAGAGAUGACUCUGUACAUGGCACGUAUGUGAAAGGAUAAAGAGUCACAGAAAGAUUGAUCCGGUUUUCACCGAGUGUCCGGAAAAUCAGCUGCACAGGUUCCUGGUGUCCAGAACUGGAUGGCAUACACAGAAAAGGCAGUGAGGAUGUAUUUCUGUUGAAGGUGGACAAUACGUACACUACAUGUACACGGGCAAGAGUAUGGUACAAUGGCCUCACAUAUAAAGAAAAAGCGUUUUUUUAAAAACCCCAAAUAGCUAAGGUAUCUUCUUCUCCCAUGCAAAUAAAGCACUGGGACAUUUGUCCUAUUGGAAAUCACUUGGUGCCAUGACAGAUAUAUAUGCUUUCGUAUAGAAAGACUUGUUUGA